GCAUUCGUGGUGUAGUGGUCAGCACGCUCGACGCGUAACCGAGAGGUCCGUGGUUCGAUUCCCGGCGAAGCG
RNAcentral lists this transfer RNA (72 nucleotides) under Stegodyphus mimosarum. It matches the Rfam family "tRNA". Rfam says of the family: Transfer RNA (tRNA) molecules are approximately 80 nucleotides in length. Their secondary structure includes four short double-helical elements and three loops (D, anti-codon, and T loops). The record is from Rfam by way of RNAcentral. Lineage: Eukaryota; Metazoa; Arthropoda; Arachnida; Araneae; Eresidae.